RNAcentral lists this ribosomal RNA (251 nucleotides) under uncultured bacterium. RNAcentral's name for it is "partial 16S ribosomal RNA". It matches the Rfam family "Bacterial small subunit ribosomal RNA", at positions 524 to 776 of the family's 1533-position model. The record is from RNAcentral.
UACGUAGGGUCCGAGCGUUGUCCGGAAUUACUGGGCGUAAAGAGCUCGUAGGUGGUUUGUCGCGUUGUUCGUGAAAACUCACAGCUCAACUGUGGGCGUGCGGGCGAUACGGGCAGACUUGAGUACUGCAGGAGAGUGGAAUUCCUGGUGUAGCGGUGAAAUGCGCAGAUAUCAGGAAGAACACCCGUGGCGAAGGCGGCUCUCUGGGACGGUACUGACGCUGAGACGCGAAAGCGUGGGGAGCGAACAGG